This is a long non-coding RNA of Rattus norvegicus (Norway rat), 486 nucleotides long. RefSeq lists it as uncharacterized. Lineage: Eukaryota; Metazoa; Chordata; Mammalia; Rodentia; Muridae. The record is from RefSeq and is a predicted model, not a curated record.
CCCCGCCCUCAGAAGAUCAUUGUGAUAGCUUGGAUGAGAAAUGUCCCCCUACAAGCUCCAGUGUUUGAAUACUUUGUCCCAGUUGGUUGCAAUGUUUAGGGAGGAGGCACAGUUUUGCUGAAGGAAGUACGUUACUGGGGGGGUAGGCUUUCAUAGCCUUGCCCCACUUUGAGUUUGCACCCUUCACUUCCUGCCUGUGGAUGGAGUUACGAGCUCUCAGCUUCCGGCAGCCAUUUUGAACUCUCCCUCUGGAACUGUAAACCGCAACAAACUCUUCUUCUAGAAGUUGCUUCUGGCCAUGGCGCUUCGUCAGAACAACAGAGAAGUAACUGGUACCAUUAUGACAAAAAGUGCACUCAACUAAGAACUUUUGAAGAGUGUUCACACUGAAAUUACAUGCUGAAUACCCUUUUUAAUUGAAUUGUUUGGAAGGUAUGGCAAAGUAUUUCAAUGUCCACCUACAUCAUGACAAGAUUGCUACUUCAG